GUUCAGCACAUAUACUAAAAUUGGAAUGAUACAGAGAAGAUUAGCAUGGCCCCUGCACGGUAUGUACUCUUAACCAUGGAGAGAUCUCUCCAGCCCAAUAAAAUAAAUCUUU
Onychomys torridus (southern grasshopper mouse) is the source of this 112-nucleotide small nuclear RNA. The record is from RefSeq and is a predicted model, not a curated record. NCBI's taxonomy places the organism in Eukaryota, Metazoa, Chordata, Mammalia, Rodentia, Cricetidae.